AAUUAAGAGCAGAGUGUCAGUCAUCUAGACCUACAGCAGACAACUCUGAGCAUGAGGUGCAUUCUGUUGGAGGUCAGCGUGGCACUUCUUCUCUGAAAGAGUUAAUUGGUGAAGUUGGUGUCCAGUGUCGGGAGUUGUCACCCCAAGCGUUCUCAGAAGAACUUACCAGUGAGAGCAAAUCGAAAGAGGUGCCACAAUCAUCCAGAGCUGUGCCUAAUGACUCUGCUUGUGAGCUAAAGAUCGCAAGCAUCCCUUCUGGUCAACAGUGUGUUGCAGAGCCUAUUGCCCAUGACGUGGAGCACCAUGUGAUCUCUACAGACUCAUUCACAG
Pelmatolapia mariae (spotted tilapia) is the source of this 330-nucleotide long non-coding RNA. RefSeq lists it as uncharacterized. Lineage: Eukaryota; Metazoa; Chordata; Actinopteri; Cichliformes; Cichlidae. The transcript is spliced from 4 exons. The record is from RefSeq and is a predicted model, not a curated record.